GGCGAGUGAAGAGGGAAAAGCUCAAAGUUGGAACCUGUCUGGCCUAGCCAGUCCGGAUUGUAAACUAAAGAGCCGUUUUCCAGGCAAGCCAGGCAAAAAAGUCCCUUGGAACAGGGCAUCAUAGAGGGUGAGAAUCCCGUCUUUGGUCUGAGCGAUAUUGUCUUUAUGUGAUACGGUUUCAAAGAGUCAGGUUGUUUGGGAAUGCAGCCUAAAGUGGGUGGUAAAUCUCAUCUAAAGCUAAAUAUUGGCGAGAGACCGAUAGCGAACAAGUACCGUGAGGGAAAGAUGAAAAGAACUUUGAAAAGAGAGUUAAACAGUACGUGAAAUUGCUGAAAGGGAACCGUUUGAGGUUAGACUAGCUGGCCAGUAAUCAGUCUUGGAUUCGUCCAUGAUGCACUUGCUGGUCUUUGGCUAGCCAACGACAGUUUUUUCUGUGGGAAAAAAUAUGUAGGAAUGUGGCUCCGCUUUUUGGGGAGUGUUAUAGCCUGCUGUAGAAUACCACGGAGGAGACUGAGGCUUGCAGUGAAUGCUAUUAUGGCUUUGGAUCUGGUUGACUGUAUGGAGUUGUGGGCUGCUACUCGGCUUGCCGCGGCUUUCUGCCUCUCUGUGCAGUAUCUUCUAG
Molecule: ribosomal RNA, 622 nt
Filed under: Spinellus fusiger
Lineage: Eukaryota; Fungi; Mucoromycota; Mucoromycetes; Mucorales; Phycomycetaceae
Description: eukaryotic LSU rRNA
Rfam family: Eukaryotic large subunit ribosomal RNA
Source: RNAcentral